RNAcentral lists this ribosomal RNA (492 nucleotides) under uncultured bacterium. RNAcentral describes it as "partial 16S ribosomal RNA". It matches the Rfam family "Bacterial small subunit ribosomal RNA", at positions 29 to 507 of the family's 1533-position model. The record is from RNAcentral.
AGUGAACGCUGGCGGUAGGCCUAACACAUGCAAGUCGAACGGCAGCACAGUAAGAGCUUGCUCUUACGGGUGGCGAGUGGCGGACGGGUGAGGAAUACAUCGGAAUCUACUUUUUCGUGGGUGAUAACGUAGGGAAACUUACGCUAAUACCGCAUACGACCUACGGGUGAAAGCAGGGGAUCUUCGGACCUUGCGCGAUUGAAUGAGCCGAUGUCGGAUUAGCUAGUUGGCGGGGUAAAGGCCCACCAAGGCGACGAUCCGUAGCUGGUCUGAGAGGAUGAUCAGCCACACUGGAACUGAGACACGGUCCAGACUCCUACGGGAGGCAGCAGUGGGGAAUAUUGGACAAUGGGCGCAAGCCUGAUCCAGCCAUACCGCGUGGGUGAAGAAGGCCUUCGGGUUGUAAAGCCCUUUUGUUGGGAAAGAAAAGCAGCAGGUUAAUACCCCGCUGUUCUGACGGUACCCAAAGAAUGAGCACCGGCUAACUUCGUG